GAUGAAGAACGUAGCGAAAUGCGAUACUUGGUGUGAAUUGCAGAAUCCCGUGAACCAUCGAGUCUUUGAACGCAAGUUGCGCCCGAAGCCACUAGGCCGAGGGCACGCCUGCCUGGGCGUCACACGCCGUUGCCCCCCCAUCUACUCCUUCGGGAUUGCGGGGGGGCGGAUGAUGGCCUCCCGUGCGCCUAGCCGCGCGGUUGGCAUAAAUACCAAGCCCUCGGCGACGCACGCCACGACAAUCGGUGGUUGCGAAACCUCGGUUGCCCGUCGUGUGCGUUCGUCGCGCAUCGAGGGCUCGAAAAAAUGCUCGGCUCCGGCUGGGCUUUCAACGCGACCCCAGGUCAGGCGGGGUUACCCGCUGAAUUUAAGCAUAUCAAUAAGCGGAGGA
This 391-nucleotide unclassified non-coding RNA is filed under the name soil metagenome. Its description in RNAcentral is "partial contains 5.8S ribosomal RNA, internal transcribed spacer 2, and large subunit ribosomal RNA". The stretch from base 1 to 122 matches the Rfam family "5.8S ribosomal RNA", at positions 35 to 154 of the family's 154-position model. The record is from RNAcentral.